UACGCGGAAUCCGAAAAGCGAUAUGAGUAGGGU
This 33-nucleotide non-coding RNA is filed under the name unclassified sequences. The record is from RNAcentral.